Molecule: long non-coding RNA, 935 nt
Filed under: Solanum tuberosum (potato)
Lineage: Eukaryota; Viridiplantae; Streptophyta; Magnoliopsida; Solanales; Solanaceae
Description: long non-coding RNA (STUB_LNC009949)
Source: RNAcentral
GCAGACAGGCUACAUUGUCCUAACCUUCACACAAGGUAACCCCCUUUCCCCUGUUAAACUUCUCAUUUAUAUAUUGUUGUUUGUUUGAUUUCUGGUUAAUCAAACCAAGUGUGUAUCUAGAAGUUUUUAAAGAUAAAAUAUAUCUUAACGUUUCAAAAAAGACACCAAAAUGAGUGAUAAUAGAAAAGAACAAGCAUACAAAUAGAUGGAUGGCAAAAUUUGGAUUGGUUAAAGUUGUGAAGUGUGUUAAAGGUAGCGUUUUCAUAACAUUUUCGCAUUUUCAUGUUUAAGUUUGAACUUUAUUUUGAACAUACGCUUGCUAUACUUUCUCAUUAGUGAAUUUUAUAAAUCGAGUUUGUGUUAGAGUGGAGUUGACUGCUUUAUCCUUAUACAACAUUUAUGAUAAUCAACCUAGUAGUAUUUUCCUUCUUGUGGUACAAAGAGGUAGGAUGCUAUUAGAUUAUCUACUUAUUUGUUUUUCAUUAAUAAUGAUGUGGCUUCUUAUGUCUAUGAAGAAUUAUAUGGUUUGUUGUACGUAGUAAUACUGUUUCAUGGUGAGUCUUUAUAGCUGUAUACGUUGAACAUCGAGUUGUUGGAAAGAAAUUUUUAUUUGCUUGAGGUUGAUAGAAAAUUAGGAACUCCUAUCAUCACUAUGCUUUCCAUUUUUGCUCCAUGUUUUGGCUGGUUUAGCGGGCUACUUCUUACAAAUGAAAUGAUACUUUUCAGGUUUUGGUACAUCAAUGGUAGUGCAAAGAUCACAUUUUCAAGAGUUUACGUCAAAGAUUUUUAUACCUAAACCAAAAAUUAUCAUAUACAUAUGCUGGUAGAUUGACCAUUGGAUGGUCCUUGCAUCUUUUAGCUUUAUUUAUUUACCGAUUAAAUUUGUCAUGCCAUUAUAAUACUAUAUUUUAUUUUUUAGAACAUGUGAAGAGAAC